AACGUAGGAGACAAACGUUAUCCGGAGUUACUGGGCGUAAAGGGCGUGCAGGCGGUCUGUUAAGUCUGGCGUGAAAGCUCUCGGCUAAACCGGGAGAGGUCGUUGGAUACUGACGGACUAGAGGACGGUAGAGGCGUGUGGAAUUCCGGGUGUAGUGGUGAAAUGCGUAGAGAUCCGGAGGAACACCAGUGGCGAAGGCGACACGCUGAGCCGUACCUGACGCUAAGACGCGACAGCGUGGGGAGCAAACAGG
RNAcentral lists this ribosomal RNA (253 nucleotides) under uncultured bacterium. Its description in RNAcentral is "partial 16S ribosomal RNA". It matches the Rfam family "Bacterial small subunit ribosomal RNA", at positions 524 to 776 of the family's 1533-position model. The record is from RNAcentral.